This 550-nucleotide ribosomal RNA is filed under the name uncultured bacterium. RNAcentral describes it as "partial 16S ribosomal RNA". It matches the Rfam family "Bacterial small subunit ribosomal RNA", at positions 355 to 895 of the family's 1533-position model. The record is from RNAcentral.
UGGGGAAUUUUGGACAAUGGGCGAAAGCCUGAUCCAGCAAUGCCGCGUGUGUGAAGAAGGCCAGCUUCGGGUUGUAAAGCACUUUUGUCCGGAAAGAAAUCCUUGGCUCUAAUACAGUCGGGGGAUGACGGUACCGGAAGAAUAAGCACCGGCUAACUACGUGCCAGCAGCCGCGGUAAUACGUAGGGUGCAAGCGUUAAUCGGAAUUACUGGGCGUAAAGCGUGCGCAGGCGGUUUGCUAAGACCGAUGUGAAAUCCCCGGGCUCAACCUGGGAACUGCAUUGGUGACUGGCAGGCUAGAGUAUGGCAGAGGGGGGUAGAAUUCCACGUGUAGCAGUGAAAUGCGUAGAGAUGUGGAGGAAUACCGAUGGCGAAGGCAGCCCCCUGGGCCAAUACUGACGCCCAUGCACGAAAGCGUGGGGAGCAAACAGGAUUAGAUACCCUGGUAGUCCACGCCCUAAACGAUGUCAACUAGUUGUUGGGGAUUCAUUUCCUUAGUAACGUAGCUAACGCGUGAAGUUGACCGCCUGGGGAGUACGGUCGCAAGAUU